AUAAAACCAAUGAUAAGGCAUAGUAGUUAAGGGCAAUAGAUGCAAAGAGAGGGCCGCCUAGGCUGAAAGCGGCCUCUUCUACCGUAACGAAUGAACACCUUUGAGGAUUCUUUCUGAACAACCACUGGUUUAGUAGGAAAGGGCGUAGCUGGCGUUAACAGACAAAAGUGGGGGCUUUAUGCCUCAAUUUGGGUGGUACCACGGGAUAUGCUCCCGUCCCAGAU
Molecule: non-coding RNA, 224 nt
Filed under: Shouchella clausii
Lineage: Bacteria; Bacillati; Bacillota; Bacilli; Caryophanales; Bacillaceae
Description: Bacillus clausii T-box sequence
Rfam family: T-box leader
About the family: Uncharged tRNA acts as the effector for transcription antitermination of genes in the T-box leader family.
Source: RNAcentral